This 439-nucleotide ribosomal RNA is filed under the name uncultured bacterium. RNAcentral describes it as "partial 16S ribosomal RNA". It matches the Rfam family "Bacterial small subunit ribosomal RNA", at positions 339 to 795 of the family's 1533-position model. The record is from RNAcentral.
CUACGGGUGGCUCCAGUGAGGAAUAUUGCACAAUGGGGGGAACCCUGAUGCAGCAACGCCGCGUGGAGGAUGACGCAUUUCGGUGUGUAAACUCCUUUUAUAUGUCAAGAAAAUGACGGUAGCAUAUGAAUAAGCACCGGCUAACUCCGUGCCAGCAGCCGCGGUAAUACGGAGGGUGCAAGCGUUACUCGGAAUCACUGGGCGUAAAGGACGCGUAGGCGGGUUGGAAAGUCAGGUGUGAAAUCCUACAGCUUAACUGAAGAACUGCACUUGAAACUUCUAAUCUAGAGUAUGGGAGGGGGAGAUGGAAUUAGUGGUUUAGGGGUAAAAUCCGUAGAUAUCACUAGGAAUACCUAAAGCGAAGGCGAUCUCCUGGAACAUUACUGACGCUAAGGCGUGAAAGCGUGGGGAGCAAACAGGAUUAGAUACCCCUGUAGUC